RNAcentral lists this long non-coding RNA (3097 nucleotides) under Homo sapiens (human). Its description in RNAcentral is "HSALNT0105971". Lineage: Eukaryota; Metazoa; Chordata; Mammalia; Primates; Hominidae. The record is from RNAcentral.
GUCCCUCAUAGACCUCAAGAGCCAGAAGAGAGGCUGACCAGCUGGGCUGGGGAGUGCCUGGAUAGAGAAAGCAGGGAGAGAAAGGACCCUGGGGAAGAGGAAGCUCGGGAGGGACAGAGGGAGGGAGGGAGGGAAGAGGUACUAAGAGACGAAAGAUCCCUCAGGCCUCCCCACCCCCACCUCACUUUUUGCAGACAAUAAUCCCCUUCUGCCCCUUCUGUCCUGAGAUGAGGCAACCCCUCCCCCAACUCCACCCACAGCAUCCUUUCAAGUUCAUCAGCACCAUCUAUCACCACAGCCAAAAAGGUCUCAGUGCCUAUUCCUGCUCCCUGAGCCCUGACCCAGCCCUGGCUUUCCAGCCAGCUGCAAGUGAGAAAAACUUACUCUUCUCUUCAAGAGCAUUAUAAAAACUGAGAAUGCAACUUUCUCCUGAGUAAUGAGAACUGUCUCUUUAUGUCUAGCCCUUUCGUCCACCCCACCGUCUCGUGCUUUGCCUCUCCAGAUCCUCCAGCCAAGAUCCAUCUUCAGAUCAGGCAUCCAAGUCAGAUGGAGGAGGCCAGGCCUUGGCUGUGUAAUCCAGGAGCUCCAAUCUCAGCUGUUUGCUCCCCUCUUGGGAAAGCCUUAUGAACUACAGUAUCAUCACAUUUAUAAACAGAAACCAGGAAAUCAUGUCCAGGGACCAGCGUACUCAUGUGCAUGUGUUCCAGAAAUUCAAGUGUGAGGGGGGACCAUCUUUCCAAGGAUGGACUCCAUUCAAGUCCUUCAUUCUUACCCCCAACAAAUCCACUGAGAAUAAUUCCAUCUGGAGAGAGAGAGAGAGCUAAGCACAGGAGUCCCUUUCUUCUUUCCAACCAACCAGGACCUCGAGGGAUGCCUGUUCUCUGCCAUCCCCCACCUGAGUUUGGGGACCUCAGACAGGGGCCUGAGCUGGUAUGAGCUUUGGCAUAAGUCACAGAGAUUUAAUACCAUAUAUCCAGCGUCUGGUCUUUCAGAAUGACAUUUUCAUUAGAGUGGAAAUAUGCCACCUAAACAAACAAAAAAGUAUUUCUCAGCUUCCCCUGAAGAUGGCAGUGACCAGUGAAAUAUAAGGGGAAGUCACUGGGUGGGGAUUUUGGAAAGGAUUUGUAAAGGGAGGUUUCUCAGCUGAUAGAUACCCUUUUGCCUUCCCCAAUUUCUCCUACUUUCUAUCUAGAACGUCAACAUGAUGGCUGGAAUUCUAGUGGCCAUCUUAAGUCAUGGGGUGACCUUGAGAAACAGAAAGACACAUGGCGGCUGGGACAUGGAUGGUACCAAGGAGCCCUCUUGACAGGCCUGGAUUGCCAACCCAGACUUCUUUUACAUGAGAGAAGAGCAAACUUGAAUUAUAUUGGCCAGUAGCCUACUCAAUAUUUGGCCUUUCUGUCCUGCAACUGAACCUAAUACUAACAGAUACAGCAGGUCUCCAAAAACAGAAAGUACUGAGGCCCCUGGUGCUCAGAGAUCCCUGGAAAGAGUGACUGAGCUGAGAUAACCCACAGCCCCACCUUGAAUCCAAGACCCUCCAUUGGAAGCCAGGGCCUGCCUGUCAUUGUCUUCCAGGAAAGCUGUCUCAGUCACUUCCCCGGGCCUCAGUCUUUCUCAACACAAAUAUCACCAUCUCCAUAACACCCCUCUCCCAAAAUAAUGCUUGUAGCUCCCCACCUCCCUCCCUCGUGAAAUCUGAAGCCUGAUGAAGCCUCCCUAGACAGUUUGUGCAAAGAAUGGCACAAGCAUGAAUGAUGAUUUCAUCAAGAGUCUGCAGGGCACAAGGCUGUGCCAGUCCUUUUCUGGAAGGUCAGGGAUAGGAAGACAGGUUAAGGAAAUGCCAGAGGCUCUGAGUCUGACUGAGCCAGGGAAGGAGAACCAGGAUCAGUCCAUAAACAAGCAGGAAGUAGCCCCUUUUGUUUUGGCUUAGGCCUGCACCAGGGAAGCUGAGUCACUUAGGGGUAGGGAAUGGAGGCAGGGAGAGGGCAGAGCCCCCAGACUCGUGGUUAGGACCCCUAAGUGCAAAAUCCCAGUUCUGGCUCCAACUUGCCCAGAAAAUGAGGGUUUUUGGCUAGGUGAGCUAUGAAGCCACUUUCACCCCACGAGUCUGGCGCCAUGGUCCCUAGUUUAUGGAGCUUGUUAUCCGGUACACAGACCCCGUCUCACUCACUGUUCUCCACACCCUCUUCGGUGUUCCCCAAACCUCUAAAUGAGCCCUUGUGUCCACACUUUAACAUAAGCUGGACCCUCCGCCUGGAUUCCUGCCCCUCCAGCACAACUCAUUCCCUCUCCCCUUAUGAAGGUCUCUGUCUAAAUGUUACCCUCUCAAAGACACCUUUCCUGGUCACCCUGUCGUAGGUGGCACCUGGAUCACUCAUCCUAAUUGGUUUUCUUCACUUAAUAUUUGCUUGUUUGUUGGUUUGGAUACGGUGUUUCUCUCUGAUAUGGUUUGGAUCUGUGUCCCCAUCAAAUUUCAUGUUGAAUUGUAAUCCCCAGUGUUGGAGGUGGGGCCUGGUGGGAAGUGAUUGGAUCGUGAGGGCAGAGUUCUCGUUAACAGUUUAGCGCCAUCUCCUUGGUGCUGUCCUGGGGAUAGUGAGUGAGUUCCUCUGAAGUCUGGUUGUUUAAAAGGUGUGUAGCACCUCCCUGCUCUCUCUUGCUCCUGCUCCCGCCAUGUGAGAUACCUGCUCUUCAUUCACCUUCCCCCAUGAUUGCAAGGUUCCUUGGGCCUCCCCAGAAACCAAGCAGAUUCCGGCACCAUGCUUCCUGUACAGCCUGCAGAACUGUGAGCCAAUUAAACCUCUUCUCCUUAUAAAUUACCCAGCCUCAGGUAUUCUUUUAUAGCAAUGCAAGAAUGGCCUAAUACCCUCUCCCAUGAGAAUAUUAACUCCAUGAAGACAGAGAUUUUGUCUGUUUUGGUGCAUUGCUGAAUCCUCAGCAUGUAAAAUAGCACAUAGUAGACAUUUUAAUAAAUAGUUAACUGACAAACAGAAUGAGUGACUACACGUGCAAGUGUAUCUACAUUUUUUCAUCCACAUGCGUAUACAUAUAUACAUACUUCCAUGCACGCAUCCCACACCUACACACACACACACAC